RNAcentral lists this ribosomal RNA (527 nucleotides) under uncultured eukaryote. RNAcentral's name for it is "SSU rRNA". It matches the Rfam family "Eukaryotic small subunit ribosomal RNA", at positions 496 to 1038 of the family's 1831-position model. The record is from RNAcentral.
AUUGUUUCCGGGAUUGCAAUGAGAACAAUUUAAAAACCUUAUCGAGUACCAACUGGAGGGCAAGUUCUGGUGCCAGCAGCCGCGGUAAUUCCAGCUCCAGUAGCGUAUAUUAAAGUUGCUGCAGUUAAAAAGCUCGUAGUUGAAUUUCUGUUUGUAAGAGUCGAAGCUUUACAGCUAAGAUUUCUUCGAACAUCUGUUUGCAAGCAUACGUUCGGCCUUCACUGGUUGGCUAUGUAAGCAAGCGUUUUACCUUGAGAAAAUUAGAGUGUUCCAGGCAGGCUUCAGCCGGAAUACAUUAGCAUGGAAUAAUGGAAUAGGACUGGGGACUAUUUAUUGGUUUGUAGGCUCCAGUAAUGAUUAAUAGGAACAGUCGGGGGCAUUGGUACUUAACAGUCAGAGGUGAAAUUCUUGGAUUUGUUAAAGACUAACUAAUGCGAAAGCAUUUGCCAAGCAUGUUUUCAUUAAUCAAGAACGAAAGUUAGGGGAUCAAAGACGAUUAGAUACCGUCCUAGUCUUAACUGUAAACG